CUAAUUUACUGCUGUUUUAGCAGGCCAUUCUGUUCCAAGAUCUCAGCAACUAACUUGAAAAUAACAAUGUUGUAUGAGAAAAAGAAA
This is a long non-coding RNA of Etheostoma cragini (Arkansas darter), 87 nucleotides long. RefSeq lists it as uncharacterized. The record is from RefSeq and is a predicted model, not a curated record. The transcript has 3 exons. Lineage: Eukaryota; Metazoa; Chordata; Actinopteri; Perciformes; Percidae.